This 526-nucleotide ribosomal RNA is filed under the name Mycobacterium kansasii. RNAcentral's name for it is "bacterial SSU rRNA". It matches the Rfam family "Bacterial small subunit ribosomal RNA", at positions 519 to 1049 of the family's 1533-position model. The record is from RNAcentral. Lineage: Bacteria; Bacillati; Actinomycetota; Actinomycetes; Mycobacteriales; Mycobacteriaceae.
GGUAAUACGUAGGGUGCGAGCGUUGUCCGGAAUUACUGGGCGUAAAGAGCUCGUAGGUGGUUUGUCGCGUUGUUCGUGAAAUCUCACGGCUUAACUGUGAGCGUGCGGGCGAUACGGGCAGAUAGAGUACUGCAGGGGAGACUGGAAUUCCUGGUGUAGCGGUGGAAUGCGCAGAUAUCAGGAGGAACACCGGUGGCGAAGGCGGGUCUCUGGGCAGUAACUGACGCUGAGGAGCGAAAGCGUGGGGAGCGAACAGGAUUAGAUACCCUGGUAGUCCACGCCGUAAACGGUGGGUACUAGGUGUGGUUUCCUUCCUUGGGAUCCGUGCCGUAGCUAACGCAUAAGUACCCCGCCUGGGGAGUACGGCCGCAAGGUAAAACUCAAAGGAAUUGACGGGGGCCCGCACAAGCGGCGGAGCAUGUGGAUAAUUCGAUGCAACGCGAAGAACCUUACCUGGGUUUGACAUGCACAGGACGCGUCUAGAGAUAGGCGUUCCCUUGUGGCCUGUGUGCAGGUGGUGCAUGGC